RNAcentral lists this unclassified non-coding RNA (208 nucleotides) under uncultured Hypocreaceae. Its description in RNAcentral is "sequence contains ITS1". The record is from RNAcentral. Lineage: Eukaryota; Fungi; Ascomycota; Sordariomycetes; Hypocreales.
CCGAGUUUACAACUCCCAAACCCCUGUGUGAACGCUACCUAACCGUUGCCUCGGCGGGACUCUGCCCCGGGCGCGUCGCAGCCCCGGAACCAAGGCGCCCGCCGCGGGACCCAACCCCAAACCCUCGUGUAUACAAUCCCGCCGCGGAUUCUUCUCGCACAUCUGAGCUCUCCCGGCGCCCCCCAGCGGGCGCGCGGACAAUCAAUCA